Cynoglossus semilaevis (tongue sole) is the source of this 1901-nucleotide RNA transcript. It is a transcript of the gene named inhibitory synaptic factor 2Ab, with no coding region annotated. NCBI's taxonomy places the organism in Eukaryota, Metazoa, Chordata, Actinopteri, Pleuronectiformes, Cynoglossidae. The transcript has 3 exons. The record is from RefSeq and is a predicted model, not a curated record.
GAUUAUAGAAUAAACUGCUGUUAAUGUUGAAAUACUGUAUAUCACUGUUACACAGGAAGGGAUUGAACUGUGUUUUUUUUGGACUAACUUUAAUUUGAUUGGCAGAUUUUUCGAUCUAUCACCUGUUUUAGUGGUGUAUAGAAACGUUUAAAUUCCCAAUAUUUGCAUUAUUUUCGUGAUAAAACAAGCAUUUUUUUAGCCUAACAAAAAAAAGUAACCUUUUUGCCAUUCUCCAUGCCCUACGAUUCGUAAAGAGUUAAAAUAUAUGCGUAAAUAAUAUAAUAAUUUAACGUGUCUCUACUUUGCAGUUUUUCCCCUAUCGCGGGGGGGUAUGGGAACGUAACCCCUGCGAUACACGAGGGACCCCUGUAUAGCUUUUCAUUACAUGUAAUUCAACCAAAAAUUUCUUUCAAUUUAACACCUUGUUCCCUUUAAAAUAAGGACACGAAUAUCUACACCCAGACCAAACAAGGUAAUCCAAUCUCGUGUGUAAAAUCAGCACUAGCACGCACAUGAUUAGUUAAUUCUAACAGAGCUGCAGGAGAAGAACCCCCGCCGAACAUUCAACAGUAAGGUAUAAACAACGCUGUGUGAGAAACCAUGCUGAGUAAAUCUGGCACAGACACAGAGGUAGUGAAAACAUAAAACCUGAGCCUGUCUCUGAAGACCCCAUGUAUCUUUUCAUCUCUCCUUCCACAGGCUCACGUACCGAACAGGACAAGACACAGCAAACUGUGACACCUGUCGAAACAGCGCAUGCAUCAUUUACAGUGUGGAGUUAGAUUUCAAGCUGCAGGAGGACAAGCUCCAGCCCCUGAUGAAGAGACUCUGUCCUCUGGACAGCCAACCAUGUCCUGCCCUUCAUUACUCCAAUGAAGUAUUCACAUCCACCCCAAAACGCAAGUCCAAGACAGAAUCCAAAAAGCAUGCCCGCUGGAAACUCUGGUUCCUCUGAGUUUGAAGUCAAGGCUUCGGAAACAGCCUGGGAAUGGAGCACAUUUACACCCCUGUGUCAGAGGAACCAAACCACCACAGUGAGAAGGCGGGGAUCCGCACUUUUGGAUUGUAAGACAAAGAAACAUUUUACAUUCGGUCAAACACUUUUUCUGGAAUUUGUGCUCAAGAGCAUCGACAGGCACCUGCAGAACCUAGAGAUUUUUGCUUGUCAACAAGAGGAGGCGCCACGUGGAGGUUCUUUCAUGAGUGAAGCAACCGUCUCUGAAGGGUCAUCAGGCAAACAUCAGACAAAGCACAAACGUUUGACUUUUGAAAGGAACACGUGCAAAAAGACCGAAUCACAGUGCAGAACAUGACACCGUGUCACUACUGUUCCUACAACCCGUGGUUCUCGAACUGCUCUGUCAUCCUUAUCUGUUCCCGUCCUCCUAACAUCAGUUUGUGUGACUGACUGAACCUGUCCCUGCCUUAACCCCCGUCUCGGCCCUAUCCUUAGGUUUCUUUCAUCAUCUCGGGAUUUAGCACCCUGCCCUUAAUCUUUUUUCUUUUUCUUUUAUAUUAAACGUGGAGAUAAAUUUGUAAUCAUUGAUACGUGGGCCCCUCCUCUUGAAGCAGGUAGAGUCGAAAACACAGAAAAAUGUCUUCUGGGUGGUACAUUUUAACAAAAUAUCCAGUCAAAUAUUUUAACAACCUUUAACGCAGAGUAUUUUUAUGGCACUGUAAAUAUUUUUUACAUAUAUACUGUAUGUAUACUCCAAAGUAGUCGAGCUGUUUUAAGGUUGCUCUUUAAGAUCCAUCCAGAGUCCAGAGUCUUGCCUUGUCUCUCGAUCAUUUAUGCGUGACUGCAACGCUCUAUUUUAGGGCCUUUGUUUCACAUUCAUUUUUAUGACUUUUGCCCCAUGCACUUACACUUGUUUUUCAAACACAGACAUAAAAAAAAAAAA